AAUGAUAUGCCUGAAUUAAAGGAUUAUUUUGAUAGAAUAAAUCAUGUAAUAAAUUAUUACUAUCAUUA
RNAcentral lists this transfer RNA (68 nucleotides) under Augomonoctenus smithi. RNAcentral's name for it is "tRNA-Ile". Lineage: Eukaryota; Metazoa; Arthropoda; Insecta; Hymenoptera; Diprionidae. The record is from RNAcentral.